This 459-nucleotide ribosomal RNA is filed under the name uncultured bacterium. Its description in RNAcentral is "partial 16S ribosomal RNA". It matches the Rfam family "Bacterial small subunit ribosomal RNA", at positions 338 to 795 of the family's 1533-position model. The record is from RNAcentral.
UCUACGGGUGGCUGCAGUGAGGAAUAUUGGUCAAUGGGCGUAAGCCUGAACCAGCCAAGUCGCGUGAGGGACGACGGCCCUACGGGUUGUAACCCUCUUUUGCCGGGGGACACACGGCGGCACGCGUGCCGUCCUGAGGGUACCCGGAGAAAAAGCAUCGGCUAACUCCGUGCCAGCAGCCGCGGUUCUAAGGAGGAUGCGAGCGUUAUCCGGAUUUAUGGGGUUUAAAGGGUGCGUAGGCGGGAUGCCAAGUCAGCGGUCAAAUACGGGGGCUGAAACUGCGUCCGCCAUUGAAACUGGCGUUCUUGAGUGGGCGAGAAGUACGCGGAAUGCGUGGUGCAGCGGUGAAAUGCAUAGAUAUCACGCAGAACCCCGAUUGCGAAGGAAGCGUACCGGCGCCCGACUGACGCUGAAGCACGAAAGCGUGUGUAUCGAACAGGAUUAGAUACCCCAGUAGUC